Molecule: transfer RNA, 72 nt
Filed under: Histoplasma capsulatum G186AR
Lineage: Eukaryota; Fungi; Ascomycota; Eurotiomycetes; Onygenales; Ajellomycetaceae
Also listed under: 3 other names
Description: tRNA-Pro (TGG) (tRNA-Pro-TGG-2-1)
Rfam family: tRNA
About the family: Transfer RNA (tRNA) molecules are approximately 80 nucleotides in length. Their secondary structure includes four short double-helical elements and three loops (D, anti-codon, and T loops). Further hydrogen bonds mediate the characteristic L-shaped molecular structure. tRNAs have two regions of fundamental functional importance: the anti-codon, which is responsible for specific mRNA codon recognition, and the 3' end, to which the tRNAs corresponding amino acid is attached (by aminoacyl-tRNA synthetases). tRNAs cope with the degeneracy of the genetic code in two manners: having more than one tRNA (with a specific anti-codon) for a particular amino acid; and 'wobble' base-pairing, i.e. permitting non-standard base-pairing at the 3rd anti-codon position.
Source: RNAcentral
GGUCCUGUGGUCUAGUGGUAUGAUUCUCGCUUUGGGUGCGAGAGGCCCCGCGUUCGAACCGCGGCAGGACCC